Molecule: ribosomal RNA, 371 nt
Filed under: uncultured bacterium
Lineage: Bacteria
Description: partial 16S ribosomal RNA
Rfam family: Bacterial small subunit ribosomal RNA
Source: RNAcentral
UGGGGAAUCUUCCGCAAUGGACGAAAGUCUGACGGAGCAACGCCGCGUGUAUGAUGAAGGUCUUCGGAUUGUAAAGUACUGUCAUUGGGGAAGAACGGUUUUCUUGAGAAUAUUGAGAAGACAUGACGGUACCCAAGGAGGAAGCCCCGGCUAACUACGUGCCAGCAGCCGCGGUAAUACGUAGGGGGCAAGCGUUGUCCGGAAUUAUUGGGCGUAAAGGGCGCGUAGGCGGGCCUUUAAGUCCGGUGUGAAAGAUCAGGGCUCAACCCUGAGAGUGCAUCGGAAACUGGAGGCCUUGAGGACAGGAGAGGAAAGUGGAAUUCCACNUGUAGCGGUGAAAUGCGUAGAUAUGUGGAGGAACACCAGUGGCG